GAUGAACGCUGGCGGCGUGCUUAACACAUGCAAGUCGAACGAAGCAUUUAAGACAGAUUUCUUCGGGAUGAAGUUUUUUAUGACUGAGUGGCGGACGGGUGAGUAACGCGUGGGUAACCUGCCUCACACAGGGGGAUAGCAGUUGGAAACGACUGGUAAUACCGCAUAAGCGCACAGCUUCGCAUGAAGCGGUGUGAAAAACUCCGGUGGUGUGAGAUGGACCCGCGUCUGAUUAGGCAGUUGGUGAGGUAACGGCUCACCAAGCCGACGAUCAGUAGCCGACCUGAGAGGGUGACCGGCCACAUUGGGACUGAGACACGGCCCAGACUCCUACGGGAGGCAGCAGUGGGGAAUAUUGCACAAUGAGGAAACUCUGAUGCAGCGACGCCGCGUGAGUGAAGAAGUAUUUCGGUAUGUAAAGCUCUAUCAGCAGGGAAGACAGUGACGGUACCUGACUAAGAAGCUCCGGCUAAAUACGUGA
RNAcentral lists this ribosomal RNA (481 nucleotides) under uncultured bacterium. RNAcentral describes it as "bacterial SSU rRNA". It matches the Rfam family "Bacterial small subunit ribosomal RNA", at positions 28 to 508 of the family's 1533-position model. The record is from RNAcentral.